Ipomoea nil (Japanese morning glory) is the source of this 82-nucleotide transfer RNA. It matches the Rfam family "tRNA". Rfam says of the family: Transfer RNA (tRNA) molecules are approximately 80 nucleotides in length. Their secondary structure includes four short double-helical elements and three loops (D, anti-codon, and T loops). The record is from Rfam. Lineage: Eukaryota; Viridiplantae; Streptophyta; Magnoliopsida; Solanales; Convolvulaceae.
GUGGCUUUGGCCGAGUGGUUAAGGUGUGUGCUUGCUAAGUAUAUGGGGUUUCCUCGCUAGAGUUUGAAUCUCUCAGGCAAUG